UUUNCAUAGCAUCUCUUGGUGUACUGAGGC
RNAcentral lists this non-coding RNA (30 nucleotides) under Rattus norvegicus (Norway rat). The record is from RNAcentral. Lineage: Eukaryota; Metazoa; Chordata; Mammalia; Rodentia; Muridae.